GGAGUUGUGGCUCAGUGGUAGAGUGCUCGCCUAGCACAUGUGAGGCACAGGAUUCAAUCCUCAGCACCA
RNAcentral lists this transfer RNA (69 nucleotides) under Ictidomys tridecemlineatus (thirteen-lined ground squirrel). Its description in RNAcentral is "Spermophilus tridecemlineatus (thirteen-lined ground squirrel) tRNA". It matches the Rfam family "tRNA". Rfam says of the family: Transfer RNA (tRNA) molecules are approximately 80 nucleotides in length. Their secondary structure includes four short double-helical elements and three loops (D, anti-codon, and T loops). Lineage: Eukaryota; Metazoa; Chordata; Mammalia; Rodentia; Sciuridae. The record is from Rfam by way of RNAcentral.